This 283-nucleotide ribosomal RNA is filed under the name uncultured bacterium. RNAcentral's name for it is "partial 16S ribosomal RNA". It matches the Rfam family "Bacterial small subunit ribosomal RNA", at positions 335 to 633 of the family's 1533-position model. The record is from RNAcentral.
UACCUACGGGACGCAGCAGUGGGGAAUAUUGGGCAAUGGGCGCAAGCCUGACCCAGCAACGCCGCGUGAAGGAAGAAGGCUUUCGGGUUGUAAACUUCUUUUCUCGGGGACGAAGAAAGGGACGGUACCUGAGGAAUAAGCCACGGCUAACUACGUGCCAGCAGCCGCGGUAAUACGUAGGUGGCAAGCGUUAUCCGGAUUUAUUGGGUGUAAAGGGCGUGUAGGCGGGAGCGGACGUCAGCUGUGAAAACUCAGGGCUCAACCCUGAGCCGGCAUUUGAAAC